UAACCCUAUCAAGUCUACACUCAGUUUCUUAUUUGCUAUCUCCACGACACAAGCCCUGUAGAUAACUUCCCCUAAUAGUGUUUCACCCCCAGUAGUAGACAUAAACAACAAUGAAUCAAGUUUAUCAGGUGAUACAUUAAGUUUGGAAGCAAAAACAUGUGAAACAAAUGAAUGCGAUGCACCAGUGUCAAAUAAAACAUGAGCAAUAUGGUCACAGAUAGUGUACAUACCAUGUACCACAUCCGGGUCGGUGUCGGCAUCCUGCUGGGUAAGGUUAUAAACCAUGCCCUUAAAAGGAGGUCUUCCUUGGUUCUGGUUCCUCGGGCACUCUCUAGCAUAGUGCUGGACACUACCACAUAUGCGACAGGUAUUGUUGAGGCGGUAGCAUGGUCGGUCCCCGUGAUCCCUGCCACAGUGCUGGCAGAUCUUUCCACGUGCUGCCCUUGGAGCCUCAGGAGGGGCCUGGAUCACUGGUCCGGGCCUCUUAUUUGGUUGGACCGGUGCAGUAGGUGC
This 513-nucleotide long non-coding RNA is filed under the name Carica papaya (papaya). RNAcentral's name for it is "long non-coding RNA (CPAP_LNC015260)". The record is from RNAcentral. Lineage: Eukaryota; Viridiplantae; Streptophyta; Magnoliopsida; Brassicales; Caricaceae.